RNAcentral lists this ribosomal RNA (253 nucleotides) under uncultured bacterium. RNAcentral describes it as "partial 16S ribosomal RNA". It matches the Rfam family "Bacterial small subunit ribosomal RNA", at positions 526 to 779 of the family's 1533-position model. The record is from RNAcentral.
CGUAGGGUGCGAGCGUUAAUCGGAAUUACUGGGCGUAAAGCGUGCGCAGGCGGUUAUGCAAGACAGAUGUGAAAUCCCCGGGCUCAACCUGGGAACUGCAUUUGUGACUGCAUAGCUGGAGUACGGUAGAGGGGGAUGGAAUUCCGCGUGUAGCAGUGAAAUGCGUAGAUAUGCGGAGGAACACCGAUGGCGAAGGCAAUCCCCUGGACCUGUACUGACGCUCAUGCACGAAAGCGUGGGAGCAAACAGGAUU